UUGGUUUGUGGUUCUGUUUGUUUGUUUGUUUGUUUGUUUCAAUAUUGCCAGAGGGAAAACAGAAGACUUCCCACCUCCCAUGGAUGCUUUUUGCUCCCUUUACCCUGGCCAGGCUCCUGGUCUCCACAGCACCUCUUCCUCUGUGGAUGCUGCCCCCGUGACAGUGCUGCCUGUGUUCUGCAUCCCCCAUCUCCAGUCUGGUCUGAGGCGCAGAACCUGCUCCACCCAGCCCGGCUCAGGGACUUCUCUGCAGUCUGGUCAGGGCUCUGCAGGGAUCCUGGGGUCUUAUUCCCUCUUCUUGCUUCCUGUUUUUCCCGAUGACUGUGAAGGCCAUGUCUCAGCUGAGGUAAAAGAGAAGCUCCGGGGCAGGGAAGGGACUCCCCUCUUCCUCAUGCUCUCAGGAGCCAGAGCUUGAGAUGUCACUGUCAAGCUGCUGUAAAUUAUCCUCCAUGCCUUGGUAAUCCCCAAGGAGGUGAGAAUACCCCAAAGCAAGACCUUGGGCCAUCAGGUCAACCUGAAAAUCAUCCAGGAAACAAACACAAGCCCUCGAGCAACUCACCAGAAACUGUGUCUUCUGUGGUAAGCUGAAAGAUGGACAAGAAGGGGCCAGACCUGCAGGGGACAGGAUUUAAAUUACUCGCUCUGUCCGUUAUGGCUUGUACAUGUCCAGAGCCUGUUUGUGAGUAAUUAACGUGGUUGUCUUAAGCAGAGCUGUGGAGAGAGUGCGAUUAAGUAAUUAAUAGUAAUCAAAGGCACAUUAUCCACAGGCGGAAUGAAGGAGGGAGGAGGCACCUGCCUGUGCGUGCCUGAGGCUCACCCCAUUUUCACAAAGCAGCGUCUUAAUAAAUUUAAUUCAAAAUCUAAAAUCAGAAUGCAACUUUCCACUAGUUUUAACUCAUAACUCUACCACGCUACCUGACAAGCUUAUCUAGGAGCUGUCUUUGCAAAGCUCCUGCUCCAUCCUAUUUCAGUCAGUAAAGAUGUAACCCUUAGACCCUUUUGCCAUUAAUGUGGGGUCUGGCUUAAGGGGAGGUUUGGAACAGGAGACAGUAAACCAACCUCACUCCCAUCUAUCCCCACCUCUGCUAGUGUCAGGUGUUAAGGAUGAGGAGGAGAGAAAAUCUCUGUGUGAGUUGGUUUCUUUUUCUGAGUCACCCAAUCAACAGCAAAGCUAAGACAGGGGCAAGAAAAAAAGAAAUGUGGGGUUGGAGUGAGGAAUUCAGGUUUAGGUUUAACCUCUCUUUGCUUUGAAAACAAACAGAUCAGUCCCUUUUAAGAUGGAGAGAGAGGAAAAAAAAAAAAAAAGUCUGAGCUUUGUAGAAAUUUCCCUGCAUUAUUUGCUGAAUCAGACUUGAAGCUGCAACUAUUUCUUUCAACAAAAAGGGCAUUUUUUAAAGUGGAUUUACCUUUCCAGCUCUAACCCCUGCUGAUCUCCCUUGCCUUCAGCUAUGUUUUGCUAGCAGGAGUAGACUUUACAUGAACUGCCCUUAGCAAUGUCCAGGGAGCUCAUAUCAAGAGAAAAGAUGCACUGAAGAUGCACUACUUGCAAACCCUUUCCCCUUCCUUUUCAACAUUUCCCCCUGCUGCAAAGAGUAGCUGAGCUGUAGAUCUUGAAUUAUUUUUAUGCCUUUGCCCCAUUUAGACAUUGCAGGACAUUAGACAGAACUGAGAACUGAAUCUGCCUCUCAAAGUCACACCACACAGUGUAAGGCUCCCAGGCAUUUUCCCGCAGCCAAAAAUCUCCUGACAUUUCAUAUAUUAAAUCUGUUUACUGAAGCUGUUCUUCUGCCAUAAUACGUUUUCACAAGCUAUAUAUUUGCCCUUGCUAGGGCUUCUUUAAAAGAAAAAAAAGUGUCAGGGCUUCUGGCUUAUGCCAGCACAAUGAGUUUUCUUGAGAGUGAGUCACUGCGUUUGCAAGGCUGGAGCUGGAAGCGGGAUUUCUGUAUCGUUCCUGGGGACCUACCUACAGAGAAAAGCUAGUCCAGGGUAUGCAAGGAUGCAAAAGAAUAUAGGUUUAAGGUGAAUUUGGGAAGAAAAGUAUUGUUUUUUUCUUUCCCACCCUGUUUAGCAAUUGGUGGAUUGCAUUAAAGCCAAAAGGAGGGUUCUGCUUACAGAGUCAGAGGAAGGUCCCCAUGUAAAUGAGUCCACCUGGGAUAAUCAGGAGUAGCUGUUCUGCGUCAGGUAAAGCCUUGGGAGCAGCACUGAGGGGAAUGAAAGACAAACUCCUUUUGCUUCGUGCUCUCCCUCUCAUUAUUAUCUACACAUAAAUUAUUCACAUUCUUUGCAAGCUGAGUCUUGUCUUGACUGAGGGAGUUCAGAUCAUUAGAAACUCAACAAUUUUGUGCAUAUUUCAUGAUAAAGGGAGCUCCAACAGGGCAGGAGGUUAGGAGAAGGAAGAAAAGGGGUAGGAAUUCUUCUGCUGCCUUUUCUGCUCUCAUGAGUUUCCUGAGAUUUCUGGACUGCUGAUACCAGAGGCUCCUGGACAUCCAGUGAGAAAAAAGCCAUGGAGAAGAUGGCAGGACCUCCCAGAGAGGCCAGAGGCCUGAUGCACCCACAUGCAUCAGGGUGGGAUGCUCUCAGGGAGCAUCACCCCACUGGUAAAAGGCCAGAGAUGCUGUGCUGAGGAGUAAGUGGUGCUGUGGAGCAUAAGGUCUCCAUGUGCCCUGCUCAGAUUUCAAGGUAAGUUUCAUUAUAUAUAUAUUUAAUAACAGAACAUGCCUUAAAAAGUUUCCAGUAAAGAGCAAUCUCAAAGUGAACAAGAUCCAUUCCAGAAAAGUUGUUUCAGCAUUAUCCAAAUGCCCAAGGUCAUUGCAGCUUGCUUUUUUUUCACCCCCAUAGUGGCGUUUUGCCAUCAGCAUUUCCACAAAAUGGCUUAUUUUUGAUGAAUUCUUGGUUUCAGAUGGCAAGGGAAGAGGAUCACUGGAUGGUUUCCAAGCAGCUCCAUUACAGAUGCCAACAUUUUGCAUGAGGCCUCUCUCACCCUGUUUUAUUGAUCGCUAAGACAUGACCUCCCAGGGCUGAGUCUGCCCAGGAGCAGGUAGCGAUGGGACCUCAGUGGCCCUCCCCCUCCUGCCUCUGUGUGUAGCUCCACUGCAGCACUCCCAGUUCAGGACUUAGUAGAAAUUUGGGUCUGUCCCCGUCUGCCCAAGCAAACAGGCUCCAAAAUGUACCUAACCUUUCCCAGCCCAUCAAAAAUCAUCCCUGCCACCUCCAGCUCUCUGAUGUAGCUCCAGCCCAAGUCUGGAGGAUACUCUGGAUUUCUUAUCUUGUUGAAUUUCCCUCUUUCACCCUCUCUGGUUUCAGAGCAGAAAUAGGACCCAGUUUAGUGAGGACAUGUGAAGGUUCUUCCCCAUCCUACAGGAUGGUGGCUCAGAGAACCAUGAUUGCCAGCGGGGAGGAGAGAUGCUUGAGCUAAGGGCUAACACUGGCACAGUGGCCAGUGGACACAAAGUGGUUGGGAAAAGUUGUAGGCUGGAAAUUAAAAGGCUCCUGACCACCAGAAGAAAUAUUCAAUUUAAGAGGGGCAGGCAGAGCUAUGGUAUGCAAGAAGGCUUCUUGAAGGGAACGGAGUUGUUGAGUCCCACAAGCUGGCAGAGAACAGGUCAGCUCAGUGCUGGGAUGGGGCUCCCACCUCAUCCCAGUGCCACCAGGCACGUGCCAGACCACGGUGGAGGAAAGCAGCUUUCAUAAGCUGUGGUGAGGGUCCUUCAGUCACUGGUGAAGACAAGGCUCCUCCAACUCCAACCUGUGUUUGAAGUGAGCCCAGCGUUUCUCUUCCCUAGCGUAAGCCUGGGCUGACAUGGGACAUGGCUGCCUGCUGAUGCUGAAACCUUGGGGGAAAGGAGGUCCUGGUGACAUGAGAGCUAAUGAAAUAUUUGCAGUAUACUCUCCCUAUGCGCAAGUACAGAUAUUUAAAAAACAGAACAUAGAUUGGAUAGAUACUUUAAUAUAUAUGUAUAUAUACAUAUGAAAACAUACCCAGGACUUAUUUGCAAGUAAUUACAAAUAGGGAACUUGAACAUUGCUGCCAUCUCAGCAGACACAGCCCCUCCUUCUCCCUCCAAUCUUUCUGCGUCACUCUCUGUUAUCUAGCUAAAAAUAAAGGAGAGUUGGGCACCCAAGUCUCCCAUGGGCAACAGCAUGAUAAACAUCAACUCUUGGUGUUAGCAACCCAUUCAUUUGCUGCCUCAAGAGGCUCCUGUGCUCCAGCCCUGCAGCGAGGCUGGUGCGGGGAGGAGGUGGGGGAUGAGGACAUUACUCAUUGACCACAAGCCCUCUUCUACCAGGCUGUCCCUCAUCCAGACCUAAGCCAAUUUUUAGCUUAAAAUGAGCCAGUACAGGCUCCGCUCAGCUCAGAGCAUCCUCAGAGGUUAUAAAUCCUCAGGCCACAUUGCUAAAACUCCAGCAGGGCUGGUUUUUCCCAAACCAGCCCCUUCAGUGACCUCCAGAUGGGUUUAUGGCCUUCUCAUGCUCCACCGCUCUCUUCAAACACAUUGUCACACCAGGACUUCCUCGCCUGCAAUCACAAUUCGGUUUUCACCCAUUACACCCCAGCAGUUACCAGGGACACAGAGCAGCCAAGCUGAAAAGAAAUACUGAUGCUGAGGCUUAAUAAACAGUUUUGCCCUCCCACCCCCUGCCCCCAACCAGCUUUGCUCUAAUUGAGUUUUACAAUGAGGCAGGAGGGAGAGAGAAGAGGGUGCCCCAGAUGGGUUAUUUGUCCUGCAUGAGGUUUUGCACCUGGUGAGGGACUAAUCAUCAUAGAACUCUUUGCAUCACACCCUUGUGAUGAAAAGAUGGAGAUGGGCAGCACCUUAGGAGAAUCUGGGCUGGGUGGGAAGAUGGUUGGCUUUGGUGCCAGAAGCUGGGAGGAGAUUUUAAACCAUCCUUGCCCUUGCCUUAGAUGUUCUAGGGCUGCUGGAAGUCCCAGAAUAAAUGCAGCAAGUCCCAGGACUGGACUGAGGUUUGUAGGGAGACAUCAGCAGGGUUUCCCACCUCUCUGGGACCACCAGAUGCUACCAUGGCUGUGCAUGGGAGACAAAGACCUAUGCAGUUGCACGAGGAAGACUAAAGGCCCUUUUUUCUGGAGAUGUGGCUGUCACUAGCUAGGCUGGAUGGGGAACACCCAAGUUCUCACUCUAAGAAUGGUGUAUGAGUGGUGGGUUGUUAUUUUUGGUUGUUUGUUGGGUUUUGGCUGAUGAAAUGUGUGUGUGUUUGUUUGUUUGUUUUCCCACAACCCAUUGUCAUUUGGCACCAACUAGCUCUAACAGAUCCUUCCUUCUAAGUGAUCAGGUGGUUUUUUUAGGCUGGCUGGGAAAGAGCAUGGUCCAUCCUGGGAAGAUGUGAUGGGCAAGAAAACAUUGCAAAGCUACAGCAUUGCCAUCCCCCGUUCUGCCUUUAGACACGUUAAACCGGCAGCAGAAGCCAAAGGAUGGGGAAGUUGCCAAAGACUUGAAAGGGCCCCCUUGUCAGAGAGUGCAAGCGGCAAAGGAGGGGGCUUUCCGAGAGCUAUUUAAACAUUAACCAGCAGAACAAUUGCCUUGUGUUCCUGUUUCCCAUUGCCACACUGGUCUUUCGCCUCUGUGUGGGUGGAUCUGCAGGGUCCUGAGCUGCCUCCAGCCCUGGAGAGAUGGCCUGUCCACAGCUGGCACGGUGCUGUGGCGGCAACAGGAGCCUCUGUGCCACCCACUCUGCCUGCAGGACUUCAUUACUGUCCCUGCAGCUGCUGAGAAGCUCAGGGGUUGAGGGUUUAAAACAGGUUAUUAACUUCCCUCUUGCAGCCAUAACCUGGAGGAUACAGCUGGAGGGUUUCAGAGAGCCACAGCUCAUAAAAUAAAGUUCAGCUGAAUGCUGAACAGAGGCACUCAGCCCUGACACUGUUCUGCCCACAGGGCAAGCAGGAGCACCUGGUCCUGCAGCAAUCUUCCCCCACUCAAGCACCAUUCAACCCUUUUCCUCACCAUGUAGGGGACAAUCCUGCAGCUUUAACAUCUUCAGUAUGGCGAUCUGAGUAUCACACCACCACCACCAAUUUAUUUCUUUAGCCUUGGGAGUAAGCAAAAUGCUGGUGACCUUCUUUUACACACGUGGAAAAAAAACAUGGGGGCAUCUAAAGUGACGUGACCAGGGUUACGCAGGAGUCGGUGGCAGAGAGUGAAGAACUGCAUUGAGACCUAACUUUGUGUCCUGCUCUCUUUUCCAGUACUGAAAUACAGACUUGAAAGUAAUGCCAGGUGGGAUCAGGACCUUCAGGUGUGCCUGUCUCCCUGGACACCAACUUUUGGGAAUACUCCAGCCUCAGCACUGCGGGAUCACAAGAAACUUUCAAGUACCAGCGUUGGAGGUGAAGACAAAGCAAAGAAAACCCAAGGAAGCGAGAACAGAGCCACCUGAACUGAUGGGACCAGCCCACUCAGUGCACAAGUCAGGACUCGUGUUGGGAACUCAAACCCCACAAGAAGAGAAAUACUACUUGGCUGCAGCAUUUGUUUCCUAACGAAAAGAAAAACAAAACAAAACGCUAUUUGGAAGGUGUCACGCUCAUUGCUGCAAGUUUGGAUCACCCCAGCUGGAGCAAAUAGCACCUUGGAGCACGCCUCUCUGCCUGGACACAAUAAAAACCUACUCGGCGCUUCACUGUGGAAGAUGGCACAACUGAGCUUUUGAGAAGGGGGACUCCUGGACAAACCCCCAAAGCUUCCAGCAGCGUUACACAAACCCCACGCCCUCCCCCCCUUUUAUUUUUUUUAUUUAUUUUUUUCUUUUUUUAAGCAAAUA
This 6777-nucleotide long non-coding RNA is filed under the name Columba livia (rock pigeon). RNAcentral's name for it is "partial uncharacterized LOC102094993, transcript variant X2". Lineage: Eukaryota; Metazoa; Chordata; Aves; Columbiformes; Columbidae. The record is from RNAcentral.